CACAAACCUCCCUGCAGGAACGCUGGAGGAAAUCAGCUGCAGGGGGUGCUCAGGAGCCACUGAUCAGAGUCAGCCCCAGAGAUUGAUGCUGACAGAGAGGAAAAGCCCUCAGCCAUUGUCACCAGGGUCAGAGUAUUGAGGAAACUCAGGGGUACCUGCACCCUCCAGUGUGUCAUGUGGAGACUCACCUGGGAAUGCAAGUGGCCAACAGUAGUGAAGGGGAUGAGCUUGUGUGGACAAAAUGGGAUGUGGAUGUGAAAUUUAUCCUGUGCUGUGCAAAGUACCACAGAGUGAGUCACCUUCCUCACCAGUAGUGUUAGAAAGAGGGUGUGAAAGUUGUCAGAAU
This 346-nucleotide long non-coding RNA is filed under the name Pongo abelii (Sumatran orangutan). RNAcentral describes it as "lincRNA". The record is from RNAcentral. Lineage: Eukaryota; Metazoa; Chordata; Mammalia; Primates; Hominidae.